UCUUCUAUAAGUGCAAAACCCUUAUUCCGAAACUCAGAAACUCUCUCUCUCUCGCUCUCCCCUUUCCUGCAUAAAUUACAAAACCCUAAUUCCGAAGCCUCACAAACUCCAUAACCCAAUCUCUCUGUUGAACCGAUUCUACUCUUCUUCCCGAGCGGCGCCAUGGCUGAAGGCGCAUCCCCUCCCGCCGUCGACAACCUUGACGGAAAACUUGAUAAGGUUUCGAUCAGGCGUGGCGGAAAGGAAGAUCCCCUGCUUCGAUUAAUGGCGGGUAUCGAUCCAACUCUUCGUCGGCGAGGUCGACCGGGAGCUCGCCGGCUUCCGAUUGGGGCCGGACGCCUGGGCAGCACAACCGGCAAUUCAACAAUUCGAGUUCGAGGUCGCUGGAGGAAGGAGAUGAUUUGGCGGGCGCGGCGGAGAAGGCUAGGGCCAGUGGAGGGACUCCGUUGUCGAGGGAUCAGAGGGAGGCGAUAAGGUUCUCGAUGGUAGGGAGGAAGAAGGGACUUCAAGCACAUGGAGAGGGUCGAUGGCCGGUGGAUCAAUGUGCUCGAGGGGCUCGAGCUUUCAUACUGGAGUUUUUAGUGCAGCGGAGCAGAAGAGGAUUGUGGCUUGCGUCUACGAUGUCCAGGAGAAGGGGAGGAAUCGGCAACUCAGAAGACGCACAUAUUCGGAACCACGAAAAUGGAUGCGUGGGAAGGGGCGUGUAACGAUACAAUUUGGAUGCUGCUACAACUAUGCAGUGGACAAUUAUGGAAUCCUCCAGGCAUAAUACAGGAUGAGGAAGUAGAUCCUAUGCCGCCCUUAUUAAAAACAAUGAUCAAGAGAAUGGUUGCAUGGCAUGUCCUUCCUCCCACUUGUGUCCCUGAUAGUUGCAUCAUCAACAUAUAUGAUAAAGAUGACUGCAUUCCUCCUCACAUAGAUCAUCAUGACUUCCUCCGGCCUUUUUGCACUGUCUCCUUGCUAUCGA
Phoenix dactylifera (date palm) is the source of this 967-nucleotide non-coding RNA. The record is from RefSeq and is a predicted model, not a curated record. Lineage: Eukaryota; Viridiplantae; Streptophyta; Magnoliopsida; Arecales; Arecaceae.